GAUGAACGCUGGCGGCGUGCCUAAUACAUGCAAGUAGAACGCUGAAGCUUGGUGCUUGCACCGAGCGGAUGAGUUGCGAACGGGUGAGUAACGCGUAGGUAACCUGCCUCUUAGCGGGGGAUAACUAUUGGAAACGAUAGCUAAUACCGCAUAAAAGUCGAUAUCGCAUGAUAUUGAUUUGAAAGGUGCAAAUGCAUCACUAAGAGAUGGACCUGCGUUGUAUUAGCUAGUUGGUGAGGUAACGGCUCACCAAGGCGACGAUACAUAGCCGACCUGAGAGGGUGAUCGGCCACACUGGGACUGAGACACGGCCCAGACUCCUACGGGAGGCAGCAGUAGGGAAUCUUCGGCAAUGGGGGCAACCCUGACCGAGCAACGCCGCGUGACUGAAGAAGGUUUUCGGAUCGUAAAGCUCUGUUGUAAGAGAAGAACGAGUGUGAGAGUGGAAAGUUCACACUGUGACGGUAACUUACCAGAAAGGGACGGCUAACUACGUG
Molecule: ribosomal RNA, 497 nt
Filed under: uncultured bacterium
Lineage: Bacteria
Description: partial 16S ribosomal RNA
Rfam family: Bacterial small subunit ribosomal RNA
Source: RNAcentral